GGCCCGGAUCGUCGAGGAGUUGCGGGGCGCCACCGCCGAGGCCGGUGGGCACGCCGUGGUGCUGACCGCGCCGGAUCC
This 78-nucleotide transfer RNA is filed under the name Plantactinospora mayteni. RNAcentral describes it as "tRNA-Leu". The record is from RNAcentral. Lineage: Bacteria; Bacillati; Actinomycetota; Actinomycetes; Micromonosporales; Micromonosporaceae.